Molecule: long non-coding RNA, 5452 nt
Filed under: Malus domestica (apple)
Lineage: Eukaryota; Viridiplantae; Streptophyta; Magnoliopsida; Rosales; Rosaceae
Description: long non-coding RNA (MDOM_LNC019047)
Source: RNAcentral
AGUUGUUAUUUCAUGAGUUAUGGAUUCAAUUCGUUCAUCUAUUUGAUUGAUAACUUACUUGUGUAUGUUGAUUGAGAGUGCACGCUUAGUUUUCAUGCAUGAAUAUGAUGCUAGAUUAUGAGGGAGUUUCACCUAAUAGUUACAAUCUUAUAAUCACAAGUAGAGAAGAUCGCUUGAAAACGAUCGCGUUGAAUGAAUUCUUAGCAUAAGUUUCAUGCAAUUCAUAGUAACAAAUGCUUCGUCAAUGCUUAUGUUUUUCAUAGAACGUAAUGAUUCUUGCUUGUAUCUCUAUUAUGCAAUUCAUGUAGGGAACUUGUAGGGAAUGUUUUGGGUUGUCGUAUGCAAUCAUCCAACUUAAUAACUUGUGGAAAAACUGAGGGUUAAUUAGUGCAAUUCACGGUUAACUUGGGGCGUUGAGUAUUCAUAGUUUAUCGGAAGAACAACUGAAAAUCGUUUUGUUUGCAAGUGUGACAUGUGUGGAGAAGAACCUCCUAACUAGCCUUUUAUCCAUCCUUUUCACCAAAAUCGUUUUUACAAUCUGUGUUAAUUAAAGUUUCUGUUUUGUUUUCAAUUUCUGUCCAAAACUAUUCCCCCUUUAUUUUGAAGUCUUAGAUUAGUUAGAAAGUGUUUUGAUUUGUGUUUCUAGGUGUUUUGAUUCAAGUUUUCAACCAAUUUCGUCCAGAUUAGUGUAAGUGCUCAAAACUGCCCAGAAAGUGGUUUUUAGGCAGUUUUGAGCCUUCUAGUUGCUGUUUUGAGUUUUAGGUUUGUUUAAGUGUUUUGACUUUUAGUUUUGCAUUCUUUGAGUCUAGUUUAGUGUUUUUAACUUUGUUUUUGAGUGUUUAAGUCAGUUUCCAAGUGUUUAGCAAUCCCACCUAAUCCCCGGUCUAGAACGAUCCCUACUUACAUCUUUACUACAAUUUGACAAAAAGAGGGUUUAAUUUGUGUGCUUAAUAUAUUUCGCAUCACAACACACAAGAAUAAGUUAUCAAUCAAGUAGAUUAGUAAAUUGUAUUCACGAUUUAUGAAAUCAUAACUGGAUGUAAUUAAUUCAUAUCACAUAUAUGUUCAUGGCUUUGAAUUCACCUCUAACUAAAACAAAAUUAGUUCCUCAUGGUUGCAAUUAAACAAGGACAAUCUAAUAACUAAGGAUAGAAUACACCUAGGAACGUUCCAGUAAUCCAAAGCCUGGAAUGGCAGGCACGGCACCAAGGGUCUCCUUUCCUUCCUUCCUUGCAAAGUUGCAGCACAAUUGUAUUUUUCUGAUGUUUUGGCUCUUGUGUGUGUGUUGCCAAAAUAGGUUCAGAAAAUAUGUAUUUAUAGGCCUAGGGUUCGGCAAAGGCAGAGAAGGAGAAUGAUUACACAAUCCUAGGGGAAAAGGACUAGGGAAUUAAGCACAAAGCUUCUAGAAAAGAAGGGAUUAAAUUCGUCAGAUUUCUAGGGGGAAAAGGGAUCAGGUUAUUUGCAUUGUUUCAGGGCUUCUAGUAUUAGAUAUUAAGUAUUCUAAUGUGAUAAGGAAUCCCCCUUGCAGCUGGAAUUAAGGUAGGAUAGGAUUAGGAUAGGAUAAGAUAAGAUAAGGUUAGUUUGGAUAAUUUUCCUUCUUUUUAGCUGAUUCCUUGUCUUCUUUAUCUUGACUUUAUUUUCUUCAUCUUCUAGCAUAUUCCUAGCCUCUUGAACUUCAAAAACGUCCAUCCACCUUGCUCCAUGCAUGUGCUAUCCAUUCUUGGCCCAAAACUGCUGCAAAAUGCUCCACAUUGCACUUUCUUGCCAACUUUGUCAUUUGAACCUGAAAACACAUGAAAAUAGCUUAAAACACUUUAAUAAGUAGAAACUAGCUACGAAAAUGCAAGAAAACAAGCUAACUAAGUCGCAUAAAUAUGCUCUUAUCAGCUGCAUUCAAAAGUUGAAUUCUAAGUGUUGAUUUCAUUACUUUGCUUACUAUGACUUUAAGAACCUUUGUUUAUCCUUCACCGUUCAUUGUUAGCCAAUACACCUUUUGACUUGUAUCUUGGUUGUUAUAUUUUUCAAUAUGUGGAGUUUGAAAUUGGUACGAGCAUAUGGAAUCCCUGGUUCUUGCUUCUAAGUAGUAGCAUUUCGUUCAUGAGAUCAUAUAUACAUACUUGCAUUUGAUAAUUCCAAAAAGUGCCUUCUUUGAUUAUAACAUAUGUAAGUGUUAGUCUACAUGUUUCCAUCAGUCUUCUCACAUAUACCUAGUAUAGGGAGUGUAGUCAAAAAAUCUAUGUGAAAAUAGAGAGUAUAUCUGGUAAGGAAUUAAGUGAAUUCUCUAAGGCAUGUUACUACAUUCAAAACAUUGUUUUAAUUGAUUAAAUGCGAGCUAGUGAGGGGUGACUGCGAUGAAGUAUGAGCUCAGGGGUAAGGAUAGCUAAAAUCUAUGUACGUAGUGAUAUUAAAUGUGUCAUGUUUCAUUGGAAAUCCAUGAGGCAAUUGUUGGAAGGUUUAGGUUAUGUUUUGUUUGUUUUGUUUUGCUCGAGGACUAGCAAAAGCUAAGUGUGGGGGAAUUUGAUAGAAGCAUAUUUAUGCGACUUAGUUAACUUGUUUUCUUGUAUUUAGUGAGUUAGUUUCUGUUUAUUAUAGUGUUUUAAGUUAUUUUCGUGUGUUUUCAGGUUCAAAUGACAAAGUUGACAAGAAAAUGCAAUUUGGAGCAUUUUGGAGCAGUUUUGGGUCAAGAAUGGAUAGCACAUGCAUGGAGCAAGGUGGAUGGACGUUUUUGAAGUUCAUGAGGCUAGGAAUAUGCUACAGAGAUGAGGAAAAUAAAGUCAAGAUAAAUAAGAUAAAGAAUCAGCUAAAAAAAAGGAACAUUAUCUUAACCAACAUUAUCUUAUCCAACAUUAUCCAAACUAACUUUAUCUUAUCCAACAUUAUCCAAAACAUUAUCCAAACUAAUCUUAUCUUAUCUUAUCAUAUCAUAACCUUAUCCUAAUCUUAUUCUACCUGAAUUCCAGCUGCAAGGGGGACAUAUUUUCAGAUUAAGAUACCUAUAAAUUAGGGUUCUAAAAGCCAAGCUCAUUCCCUAAAAACAUGCCGCACCUAGCCCUUCUAGAAACUAUGUUUCCUGCCGCAAAGACCACUCCUUUUCCUCCCUGAAAUCUGAAUGAGAAGUGUCCUUUUUCCUUGUUGAUUUAGAGUUCUAAUUCCCCUCAUUCUCAGCCUUUGUCGUGCCUUCCCUUCCCCCUAUAAAUACAUUGUGUCGCAGCACUCAUAAAUCACCCAUCUCUCAUCACAAUUUCGCACCACACACAUAAGAGCCUAAAAUAAAAAAAUCUCACUUGUGCCGCAGCGUUGUGCAGCAGCUUUGCAAGGAAGGAAGGAGAUGAGCAAGCUUGGAGCCAUGACUGCCGUUCAAGACUUUUGGAUUGCUGAAGCGUUUCUAGGUGUAUUCUAUCUUUUGCUUUCAAUUUUUAAAUUAGAUUGGUUUUGUUUAAUUGCGAACAUGUGGAACUAAUUUCGUUUUAGCUAGAGGUGAAUUCAAAGCCAUGAACAUAUGUGUGAUAUGAAUUAAUUACAUCCAGUUAUUGUUUCAUAAAUCGUGAAUGGAAUUUACUUAUCUGUUUGAUUGAUAACUUGUUCUUGUGUGUUGAUUAAGGAUGCAUACUUAGUUUGCAUGCAGAGAUUUGAUGCUAAAAUAUAAGGGAGUUUCACCUAAUAGUUAUGAACUUAUAUUUACAAGUAAUGGAGGUUGCUAGUCACGGUCGUGUUAAGUAAACGAAUGCCUUGUCCAUACUUAUGAUUUUCAUAGAACUUAAUGAUCUUUGAUAUGUAUCUCUAUUAUGCAGUUCAUGUAGGGAACUUGAUAAGGAUAAUUUGGUAGCGUCGCUAAGUCCAAUUCAAUGAAUUUAGGAAAAUCAUUAAGUUAAUUUGUGCUUCUCAUGAUUAAUUUGGGGCAUUGUCAUUCCUGGUUCAUAGGAAGAAUAACUAGAAAUCGAUUUGUAUGCAUAUGUGUCAUGUGUGGAGAAGGACCCUCUAGCUAGCCUUUCACCCCUUUCAUUCACUCUGAUUUCGUAUUGCCUUUAUUUUGUUUCUGCAAGUACUUAGGUUUACUUUAAAUUCGUCAAAACCACCCCCAUUUAGUAUUCUGAGUCUUUUUAGUUUAAUUUUCGUCCAACUCAUCCUCUACCUUUAGUUGUUGUUUUAAGUCAAUUUAACUUAGUUUUGUGUUAUUUGAUUCAGUUUAGCUUGUUUUGAGUUGUUUGAUUCUAGUUUUCAGUUUUUAAGUUUAAUUUGUGUUGAUUAGCAUCCCUAAUUAAUCACAGGCCUAGAACGAUCCCUACCUACGCGUUCUACAACUAUCUUAAUAGGGUCUAAUUUGUGUGUUAGUUUUUACCACAUCAGGUUUAAACCCUUGAAAUUUUGACAUAGAAACAUAGCUCAAACAAGAUUAUAACUGACGAAAACCACGUUGAGGAUUAGAACCUUACCUAAGGUGGAGUUUGAGAGAGCUCAAGCUCUCAGUGUUAAUGGCAUAGCACACGGGGAUGCUUUGAUAGCGCAUGCAAAGCUGUAGGUGAAUUCCUCAUGUCCUAAAGGUUAAAGGUUCCAGUUUCCAAGGUUUGAUUUGGUCAGAGAAGGUGGUUCAUCGGAGAAAUUGAGGGUGAAGGUCCUUGGCCUUUCGGCCUCUCUGUUUACAGAGAUGAAGAAGAUGAUGGAAUGAGAGAGAUAGUUUUAAAAAAUUAAUAAAAUUAGUGAGUGGGAAAAGAGAGAGAAAGAGAAGAAGAACUGGUUAAAAAAAAUGAGAGGGAAAUGAGGCAUAUGUGUCAGAGAGAGAGAGAGCCAUGUGAGGGAACUAGCCAAAAAGAAGGGAAAAUGAUGUGAUGUGUGAUGGAGCAAGUUUUGGGUUUCUAAAACCAAAAAUAAUAUUUGUUUAAAGCAACUUGCCCACCAUCCCUCAUCAUUUGAAGGCUGAUAUAUGCUUCCCACACCAGACCAAGGCAGUGGUGCACAUUGCAUGAGGUUGGUUUUUAAAGUUUGAACCUCUCUCAGGUGAAUUUAUAAUGUUUCGAACAUAACUUGUUCAUUAUAAUUCCAAAUUGAGUUCCGUUUGCGGUCACAUGUUCAUACAAAUGAGUACUAUUCAAAAAUAGUAAAAUAAGACUGAAAAUGAAAGGAAAAUUGAGGUCCACGUGGAAGGCCAUCUUAGGGGUAUUUUGAUAAUUUCACUACUACUGAGAAUAAAAUGAUAAAUCGCCAAAAUGGUCCUUGAGAUUUGCAUAACUCAUCACUUUGGUCCUUGAGAUUCCAAAUCGAUAAAAGUGGUCCCUAAGAUUGUCCACCAUCCAUCAUUUUGGUCCUUCCGUUAAAAACUCCGUUAAGUGUCCUGAAGCUCUUGGCCAGAAGUUUGGGCAAUUUUCAAAGCUUCGUAACUCAAUUGUUUCUUAACCAAAUUCGACCCAUAAUAUAUCAAAAUGAAGAUAAGAAAGUGUAAAAUAAGAUUAUACCU